Nicotiana tabacum (common tobacco) is the source of this 1008-nucleotide non-coding RNA. Lineage: Eukaryota; Viridiplantae; Streptophyta; Magnoliopsida; Solanales; Solanaceae. The record is from RefSeq and is a predicted model, not a curated record.
UUUAAAUACACGUCAAAAUAUUCUGCUUUAAAAGUGAAGAGCUCUCAAUCCCUAAAUUGCCAAUAAAUAAAAAGAGAACUACUUGGUUUGGCAGCCCACAGCAAUAUAAGCUAACAAUAUUGUCCCUAAAUUAUUAUUUUAACUAGGCAAAAUAUAUAAAUAAUCCCUUUAAAUUGUUCACCACGAUCGAUUGAACAACACUUCUAUUUGACAUAGGUAUUUCGUGAACAACAAGCCUCGCUGAUGACAUGUCAAACUGAUAAAUUAUCGAGUGACACAUGUAUCUCUUAAACAAAUUAUAGUUUAUAUUAAGAAAUAGUUAUAAUUUUUAAUUAAUAAAAGAAGAAAAAACCCUUCUUUUCCUCCUCCCAACCAAAAUCAUUACUUAAGCCAAGUAAAACAACAAAAAAAGAGGGCUAAAAGGCAAAAUCUGACAGUACGUUGCAGCAAAGGUUCCGCUGGAAGUCACAAUUUCUGUACCCCAAACAUGCACUCAGGUUUUUCUUCUAUUUCCCAUUUUCAUUAUUCCAGUAACUUCCGCCGGCAGCCAUGACUCCAGUUUCAUCAAAGCUUUACACAGAUGAUGUAAGCCUAUUGAUGGUUCUGAUCUAUACAAAUCCGUGCUUUUGGAGCUCCAUGAAGAAUAUUGCCUUCACAUUCGAAGGGGAAAGAUGGAGAAAGUUUGGGGCAGAGGACGGCACAAGAUGUGGAGGAGAAAUUGGAGAAGGAGGAGGUUUAAAAAUUAGGAGGGGUCCAUAUUGAUUUUAGGAAGAAAAAAAAAAAGAUAAAUUUAAUUUUAAAGAUCUUUACACGAUUAGAUCUGAGUAUAACGUACAAGAUUUGUCAUUUAAAAGAAUAUAUUUCUGCCAAGCAAAGCAAAGGUGUUUGUCUGGUCAUGUCAAGUUAAGAUAUUCAGUUAAUCAUUAUGGACAGAGACUGUUUAUGUAUUUUGCCUUUUAGCUAUAAAGUAGCUAAACUCCUCUAUUUCAUGCUUCUCUGUUUUGAUGC